CAAGAAUAAGAACUCUGCCUCUCAUUAUCAUCACAUAACCAUUUCUGAGGCGCUUCAGGCUGCUCGUAUUGAGGCUCCUGAUGGAACACACAGCCCUGCACUGAAAACUAGUGGUAGAGUCCUUAGCUUUGGCUUGGAUGCACCAAUAUGUGAUUCCAUGGCUUCUGUAUUAAAUAUCGCUGAUAAGAAGGUUUUGAAUGGCACUCGAAAUGGCCUUCAUAACUUUGAAGAACAGAGAAUUCCAGCUCCUUGCAAUGGUAGAGAAAACGGUGAUGAUUGCUCAAGUGGAUCUUCUGUGACAGUUUCCAAUUCAAUGGGGGAAGGUGGCAGGACUUGCUUACAAGAACAUUUUAUGCAAAGCAUCAAUGGGUUUGCCUCUCCAAUCCCAUGCAUCCCUGGUGUUCCCUGGCCCUAUCCUUGGAAUUCUGUUUUGCCCCCUCCAGCUUUUUGCCCACCAGGAUUUCCCAUAUCAUUUUAUCCUGCCUUUUGGAAUUGUGGUAUCCCUGGUGGUUGGAACAUCC
RNAcentral lists this unclassified non-coding RNA (521 nucleotides) under Hevea brasiliensis (rubber tree). The record is from RNAcentral. Lineage: Eukaryota; Viridiplantae; Streptophyta; Magnoliopsida; Malpighiales; Euphorbiaceae.